AGGCCUAACACAUGCAAGUCGAACGGCAGCACAGAAGAGCUUGCUCUUUGGGUGGCGAGUGGCGGACGGGUGAGUAAUGUCUGGGAAACUGCCCGAUGGAGGGGGAUAACUACUGGAAACGGUAGCUAAUACCGCAUAACGUCGCAAGACCAAAGUGGGGGACCUUCGGGCCUCACACCAUCGGAUGUGCCCAGAUGGGAUUAGCUAGUAGGUGGGGUAAUGGCUCACCUAGGCGACGAUCCCUAGCUGGUCUGAGAGGAUGACCAGCCACACUGGAACUGAGACACGGUCCAGACUCCUACGGGAGGCAGCA
Molecule: ribosomal RNA, 313 nt
Filed under: Kluyvera sp. DV48
Lineage: Bacteria; Pseudomonadati; Pseudomonadota; Gammaproteobacteria; Enterobacterales; Enterobacteriaceae
Description: bacterial SSU rRNA
Rfam family: Bacterial small subunit ribosomal RNA
Source: RNAcentral